UACGAACGCUGGCGGCAUGCCUAACACAUGCAAGUCGAACGAGACCUUCGGGUCUAGUGGCGCACGGGUGCGUAACGCGUGGGAGCCUGCCCUUAGGUUCGGAAUAACUCCCCGAAAGGGGUGCUAAUACCGGAUAAUGUCUUCGGACCAAAGAUUUAUCGCCUUUGGAUGGGCCCGCGUUGGAUUAGCUAGUUGGUAGGGUAAAAGCCUACCAAGGCGACGAUCCAUAGCUGGUCUGAGAGGAUGAUCAGCCACACUGGGACUGAGACACGGCCCAGACUCCUACGGGAGGCAGCAGUGGGGAAUAUUGGACAAUGGGCGAAAGCCUGAUCCAGCAAUGCCGCGUGAGUGAUGAAGGCCUUAGGGUUGUAAAGCUCUUUUACCCGGGAUGAUAAUGACAGUACCGGGAGAAUAAGCUCCGGCUAACUCCGUG
This 433-nucleotide ribosomal RNA is filed under the name uncultured bacterium. RNAcentral describes it as "partial 16S ribosomal RNA". It matches the Rfam family "Bacterial small subunit ribosomal RNA", at positions 29 to 507 of the family's 1533-position model. The record is from RNAcentral.